Molecule: ribosomal RNA, 253 nt
Filed under: uncultured bacterium
Lineage: Bacteria
Description: partial 16S ribosomal RNA
Rfam family: Bacterial small subunit ribosomal RNA
Source: RNAcentral
UACGAAGGGGGCUAGCGUUGUUCGGAAUUACUGGGCGUAAAGCGCUCGUAGGCGGAUUUUUAAGUCAGGGGUGAAAUCCCGGGGCUCAACCUCGGAACUGCCUUUGAUACUGGGAAUCUCGAGUCCGGGAGAGGUGAGUGGAACUGCGAGUGUAGAGGUGAAAUUCGUAGAUAUUCGCAAGAACACCAGUGGCGAAGGCGGCUCACUGGCCCGGUACUGACGCUGAGGAGCGAAAGCGUGGGGAGCAAACAGG